AUGGAAGGAUUUGAUAGAUUUGAUCUAGUUUAUGGAAAGAUUUGGUCCAGUGGCAAUUUGGUAAUUUCUGUCAAGUUUGGAGUGUCGUUUUUUUGCGUUUUCGGAGCCUAAUUUCAUUGGAAACAGGUCAACGGUCAAAAGUCACAAGCGCUUUGCUCGUGAACUGCAGUGUUUCUUGGUCAAAUUCUAUCGUUUAGGCCUUUAAAAUUACAUUUUAUUGUUUUCGAGUUAUUUUUUUAAUUUUCCUUACUAGUUUUCCUUUUCCGUUUUGGAUUCCGCUUUUAGGAUUUUGUUAUUUUAACGUUUGUUAUGAUGUGAAGCAGCAGUUUUUAUGAACAACAGACUUUUUCUUAUUUUCCAAAAUUCUCUUAAUUAGAAUUUUGUUGCCUAUUUGCCGGUAUUCGUAGAAUCAACAGGUUGUAGAAGGUUAUCGUUUGGCAAUCGUGCGCGAUUCAACAAUUGAUAAAACUUUUCGUUGUAAUUCCGCUGCGUUUACGUCGUGCAUGCGAUUUUAGCAAGACACGUUCAC
This 529-nucleotide long non-coding RNA is filed under the name Panax ginseng (ginseng). Its description in RNAcentral is "long non-coding RNA (PGIN_LNC005524)". The record is from RNAcentral. Lineage: Eukaryota; Viridiplantae; Streptophyta; Magnoliopsida; Apiales; Araliaceae.